GGGCAGACUUGGAGCGUCUGUUGUCUCACGCAUGCUCAGAUCACAGUUGUGCAUUAGUGUUAGGGGCGCUACGGGCCAGCGCCCAAGCUUUCUGCUUCCUCACGCAUGCUCAUAUCACAAUUCUGCAUCAAAAAGUUAGCUUAUCCUAGCCACAUAAUAAAAAUCCCUAAUGGGCGCCAGGGACCAGUGCCCCGGCAUCCCAAAUUUAAAUGAUGUAAGCACGUUCAUAACCAGAUUGGCCACAAAUGGACGCAUAGUUACGAUGUGCGUCUGACGUAGCUAGCUGCUCUACUCUGAGCCGGUCCGCCCUCACUCUGCACUUGGCUGCUAAUGAUAGAGGACGUGGAAAUGGCGACCGCAAAUCCCCUAUCGAGUGAUUUAACGGAGAACACUGCACUGUCCAUCAAGUAGGUCCCGUUUGAGAGGAGAACUCUGCAGGAUAAAUUAAAGCUGGAAGAGCUCGGUCCAGAUCGACCAGACGCCGCCGCUCAGCGAGUGACCACAGAGAACAGCAGACAAUAUACGCGGACAUUUUCAAGAGCAGGGUAUGGGCGCAAAGCAUGGCUAACUGGAAGUCCAAAGAGUAAGGCUCUUUUAUGUUUCCCGUGUAAAUUAAUGGUGACAAAAAGAAAUUUUAAAGCUGGCAAAAUAUAAUUUCAGUGACUGAAACAGUCAGUCAACAAAAUCUGUUUGUAGAAAAGUAGAGUAUAUAAAGAUUAAAACCUAAUAAAAACCAUAAAUUUAUUAUAGUGAGACAUAAAAGCCAGACUAAAAAGAAAGCUAACCGACAAUGUUCAUGCCACAAUGUUAGAAAUCAAUCAUUUUUAAGGCAGGAUGAAAACGUCCUGGAAAAGUCCUGGAAAAUGAUUUCUAUAAAAGAGCGGGAACCAAAGACUGUAUAUACUAUGGACAACUUGGUUUCGCCUACCGCCUCUAUACGGAUUUAACGCCAAAUAGCUCUCGGUAUUUCCGGGAAUUGUCUUCAUUUCCUGAAACCAGCGCUGCCCAGUAGCGAGGCACGCAUUCGGCCGUGCAGUCGCAGAGAGUCGCUGUGAUGACGCUCGGCUCAAACAGCGUAUCCUCCGGGUGAACUACGCAAUCCCUGGCUGUCCGCCCAUAGGCUGUAUUAGGUGUCAAUCAUAGAAAACAUGACCCCCUAAUAACUUUUAAAAACGGAGCUUCACAGAAAAAAAGAGGACUUGAGCACAAACCAGUCUGACAGUAACUACAUGUCAACAUCACAAGCAGGGGGGAGAAAAAUUUAUUUUCUGUGUAAUAAAUUUCUAAAGUUUGUCCACAGCCCCAUACGCUUUGCUGGCGGAGGCAGGAUUUAUGACCUUUACUGCAGCCCAUCAACAAAGGAUGCUGUUCUCGGAGUGGCUUCACCCAGCGAGGAGGCAGACUCUCUCCAUUCUAUAUACAGUCU
Molecule: non-coding RNA, 1426 nt
Organism: Xyrichtys novacula (pearly razorfish)
Lineage: Eukaryota; Metazoa; Chordata; Actinopteri; Labriformes; Labridae
Source: the annotation of a GenBank genome assembly